RNAcentral lists this ribosomal RNA (253 nucleotides) under uncultured bacterium. RNAcentral describes it as "partial 16S ribosomal RNA". It matches the Rfam family "Bacterial small subunit ribosomal RNA", at positions 524 to 776 of the family's 1533-position model. The record is from RNAcentral.
UACGGAGGGUGCAAGCGUUAUCCGGAUUUAUUGGGUUUAAAGGGUGCGUAGGCGGUGAUUUAAGUCAGUGGUGAAAUCCUGCAGCUCAACUGUAGAACAGCCAUUGAAACUGAAUUACUUGAGUAAUCUUGAGGUAGGCGGAAUGUGUAGUGUAGCGGUGAAAUGCUUAGAUAUUACACAGAACACCGAUUGCGAAGGCAGCUUACUAAGGAUUUACUGACGCUGAUGCACGAAAGCGUGGGGAUCAAACAGG